This 152-nucleotide unclassified non-coding RNA is filed under the name soil metagenome. Its description in RNAcentral is "partial internal transcribed spacer 1". The record is from RNAcentral.
GUGAUUAAUCGAGCGUGUCUUCAUUGACCGCUCACCCUUCUCACCAUCCACAUACACCUGUGCACUGUUUAGCCUGAGCCGGUUUUCCGGUCCAGGUUAUCAUUUCAUACAAACUCUAGUCUUAUGAAUGUAAACGUUUUAAUAACAUAAUA